AUGUUCCUUUUUGUUUUUGUUUUGAAUUGAUCGGGUGAUCUUUUACCUUGGAAAAUUAUAGAGUUACCUCAUGAGGAAUUAGCAGCGCCCACGAAUCAUAUAAAUACUACUAUUGCUUUAGCUUUACUCAUGUCAGCGGAGGCAUAUUUUUAUGCCGGUCUUAGCAAAAAAGGAUUGAGCUCUUUCGAGAAAUAUAUUAAACCAACUACAAUCCUUUUACCAAUUAACAUUGAGGUACCCAUCGCUCUCGGUUACAUAUUUUUCACACUGUGA
Molecule: ribosomal RNA, 273 nt
Filed under: Triticum aestivum (bread wheat)
Lineage: Eukaryota; Viridiplantae; Streptophyta; Magnoliopsida; Poales; Poaceae
Description: partial small subunit ribosomal RNA
Source: RNAcentral